UCAGAAAUACCAAAAAGAAAGAAAGUGAGAGGGACUAAUAAGAAAAAUCUAUUUCUUCCAUCUGCCAGGGAAAUAGUCCAGGUGCUACAACUGCCUGACCGGCUGUCAAGGGCAAUGUAGCUGCCUGGGGACAUACGU
Nycticebus coucang (slow loris) is the source of this 138-nucleotide small nucleolar RNA. RefSeq annotates it as small nucleolar RNA SNORA77. The record is from RefSeq and is a predicted model, not a curated record. The transcript has a single exon. Lineage: Eukaryota; Metazoa; Chordata; Mammalia; Primates; Lorisidae.